RNAcentral lists this ribosomal RNA (245 nucleotides) under uncultured Anaerolineaceae bacterium. Its description in RNAcentral is "partial 16S ribosomal RNA". It matches the Rfam family "Bacterial small subunit ribosomal RNA", at positions 524 to 768 of the family's 1533-position model. The record is from RNAcentral. Lineage: Bacteria; Bacillati; Chloroflexota; Anaerolineae; Anaerolineales; Anaerolineaceae.
AACGUAGGAACCGAGCGUUAUCCGGAUUCACUGGGCGUAAAGCGCCUGCAGGCGGUCUUGUAAGUUGGACGUGAAAUUUCCUGGCUCAACUGGGAGGGGCCGUUCAAUACUGCAAGGCUUGAGGGCAGAAGAGGGAAGUGGAAUUCCCGGUGUAGUGGUGAAAUGCGUAGAUAUCGGGAGGAACACCAGUGGCGAAGGCGGCUUCCUGGUCUGUACCUGACGCUAAGAGGCGAAAGCUAGGGGAG